ACAUGCAUACCCUCAAAUGGAAAGUUGUGUUUAUGUGGUUGUGGUUAUGGUCGGACAGUAACCAGCUUUGCAUUCCUGGGCAUACACAAGAGAUGUGUCUGAAUUUUCUGAGUCUGCCAGUUCACCCGACAUUAUUUCAACAAAAGGUCUUUGAUUAGGUCACAGAAUGCAAGAUAAGAAAGGACUCUUUUUGACCAGGCACUGUUUCUCUUGCUGAUUCACAGAUCUAGGACCUACAAGGAUGGUCACAGAUUCAGAUGACUUUUCUGUGGGAGGAAGAACCCGAACAAUCUUUCUGAGGCUAAGUGGAGAUGAUCUGGCCAUUACUGGAUUAAAUCUUUCUUCAAGCCCAAUCAGAUCUAUCUAUAUGACCUCCAAGCCUACUGAUGUCCAACCUGAACCUCCCCUGGCGCAGCCUGAGACUAUGUCCUCUUAUCCUGUUGCUGGUUGCCUGGG
Molecule: long non-coding RNA, 456 nt
Filed under: Manacus vitellinus (golden-collared manakin)
Lineage: Eukaryota; Metazoa; Chordata; Aves; Passeriformes; Pipridae
Description: lncRNA (ENSMVIG00005005537.1)
Source: RNAcentral